RNAcentral lists this long non-coding RNA (729 nucleotides) under Urocitellus parryii (Arctic ground squirrel). RNAcentral describes it as "lncRNA (ENSUPAG00010009099.1)". Lineage: Eukaryota; Metazoa; Chordata; Mammalia; Rodentia; Sciuridae. The record is from RNAcentral.
CUGCGGGCGGAGCUGUUCUGGGCCGUGAGGAGUGAGAGAGGGGCUGUGGGCGGGUUUAUCCAGAAGAGCUCGGCGGGGCUUAGGUAGGAGUUGGGGGCGGUGUUUCCAUGAGUGACAUAGGCUCUGGGGGCCUGACAGCAAGGAGUGAGAUGGGAGCUCUGGGUGGGCUUGUCCAGAGGAGCUUGGCGGGACUGCAAGGAGUGAGCCUGGAAGACAUUGACUCCACAUCUUGGAGAGUGUGGCUACGUGUGCGACUCUGUACAUGAGUAGAAGUGGGAUAUCUGGAGCCUAUCUUCCAGACUUCUUUGAGGAAGGCCUUAAGAAAUAAGGAGUGGCAUGGAGAUCCUGGCCUGAGCCUUGAAGAUUACAGACUGAAAUAGGCAGUGAAAAGCCUCCAGCCUGAAAAGAAGAAAAAGGCGCUUUGGGCCCUUAGGGCCUCCAUCACAAAGGUCCUCUAGGGUAUGUCCUGUUGAGAGCCGCAGCCGAAACGGCCCCAGCAAACUUCCAGCUGAUUGGCUCCUCUGCAGUAGUGCUCAUUGGGCUGUUUCCCCGCCCUUUCAGACCACGGAGCUGCUCAUUUGGGGAACUCUUUUGGCUCCACCAACACGACCCAGCCAAUCUGCCUCAAGAGCAGGACCUAAGGGUUCCAGUUGAGGUGCUCAAAUUCCCCAAAGAGCCCGUGGUGGCAGUUGGGCUCUUGGGGAAUUCCUGGAGAGCUCACGUGGUGUG